Photorhabdus luminescens is the source of this 187-nucleotide non-coding RNA. It matches the Rfam family "6S / SsrS RNA". From Rfam's summary of the family: E. coli 6S RNA was the first non coding RNA to be sequenced, but its function was unknown until recently. It consists of 184 nucleotides that fold into an extended hairpin structure with a large single-stranded internal bulge. The record is from Rfam. NCBI's taxonomy places the organism in Bacteria, Pseudomonadati, Pseudomonadota, Gammaproteobacteria, Enterobacterales, Morganellaceae.
AUUUCUCUGAGAUGUUCGUUAACGGGGAAAGUCCCCUGAGCCGAUAUUUCAUACAUUAUAGAAUGUGGUGCUCCGUAGUCUGGUGUGCAUGCUCGGUCCAGCCGAGAAGCCUUAAAGCUGCGACGCUGCGUUCACCUUGAACCGAGGGUUCAAGGGUUACUACCUGUAACGGCAUCUUGGAGAAUCU